AGCUUCACAUGUGAGAUAAAUGCACUCAAAGAUUCCUCACAAGUAGCUCUUUGGAGCUUCAGAUGUGAAAUGGAUCAUUCCUCAAUCUGUAAUAGACCCUUCUGUGAAGCUCUUCAAUCAAACCAGAGAAUUCAAGAGUUUCCAACACCUAAGAGUGGUAUUUGGCAAAUGGUGGGCCAAAGGAAUAAAGAAGGCAUGCAAAACUCUUGACAGAAGACAUUCAGAAAUUGAUUUGAUAUCAGAUACAAGGAGAAAAUAUGCCAGUAAGAAAAUGCAUUUUUCAAGAUUAAAUUCGGCAUUUGUUACUUAAUAGCAUUUGUCAUAUUCCAAUUUUUCAUAUGUAGUAAAUUCAUUUCAAAUCA
This 362-nucleotide long non-coding RNA is filed under the name Homo sapiens (human). Its description in RNAcentral is "non-protein coding LINC01412:2". The record is from RNAcentral. Lineage: Eukaryota; Metazoa; Chordata; Mammalia; Primates; Hominidae.